RNAcentral lists this transfer RNA (73 nucleotides) under Plutella xylostella (diamondback moth). RNAcentral's name for it is "tRNA-Ser". The record is from RNAcentral. Lineage: Eukaryota; Metazoa; Arthropoda; Insecta; Lepidoptera; Plutellidae.
GACCGAAUGGCGCAGUGGUUAGUGACCCUGAGUACUGAGCCGAUGGUCCCGGGUUCGAUUCCCGGCUGGGGCA